Molecule: ribosomal RNA, 228 nt
Filed under: uncultured bacterium
Lineage: Bacteria
Description: partial 16S ribosomal RNA
Rfam family: Bacterial small subunit ribosomal RNA
Source: RNAcentral
UACGUAGGGUGCAAGCGUUAAUCGGAAUUACUGGGCGUAAAGCGUGCGCAGGCGGUUAUGCAAGACAGAUGUGAAAUCCCCGGGCUUAACCUGGGAACUGCAUUUGUGACUGCAUAGCUAGAGUGUGGCAGAGGGGGAUGGAAUUCCGCGUGUAGCAGUGAAAUGCGUAGAUAUGCGGAGGAACACCGAUGGCGAAGGCAAUCCCCUGGACCUGGUACUGACGCUACA